RNAcentral lists this ribosomal RNA (107 nucleotides) under Clostridioides difficile. The record is from RNAcentral. Lineage: Bacteria; Bacillati; Bacillota; Clostridia; Peptostreptococcales; Peptostreptococcaceae.
UGGUUACAAUAGCAGAGAGGAUACACCUGUUCCCAUUCCGAACACAGAAGUUAAGCUCUCUAGCGCUGAUGGUACUGGUACUAUUUUUAAAGUAUGUUAUAAAUGCU